ACAAUGCUGGGCCCUCAGCCAGACCUGCCCUGCGUGCCACGUUCUGUUCUAAGAUCGGGCUGCCGAGCUGUGGCCUGGAGGAAACCUGGCAGGUGUCACCAGAGCUUUGGGGAGGGUGAGGCCCUGUCGGGGAAGCCCAGUGGGAGUCAUGAAGGAGGGAACACGUGUGGAGCCCUUGUAGGGGGAGGGGCAGCCCUGCAGAGAUCUAAGAAAAAAUUCCAGAAAAAUGAGCAGCAACCUCCAAGGCCAGGCAUCGGUGCAGGGGACAAGGGGUCGUAGCUGGAGGGGCCUAGGUGAGGCUGCCGGGAAGGGACGAUGUGGUUGGUGGAGUGCACAGGCAGGGACCUCACUGGACUUUCCUGUCUGCUCAGCAUGGACAGGCAGCCCAGGAGAAGGCAGCACGUGGCCGGGUGCAGGGACGUACCACCCCCACUUCCCCAGGGGAGCUGGGGUCAGACGAGUCCCAGGCACUCCAUCCUCUGCAGCAAGUCAGGUUGUGAUUUACUAGGGGGUGGUGAAUAUAAUGGAGAGACUUCUGGGGAGGAAUUCCUGGCUCCCGCGUGGACUUGCAGAGCUCAACAGGCAGCCACGUGGCUGAGUGUCCAGCAAACAUCACAUAAGGCUUUGGGUCCUGCAGGUGGGGCUGCCAUGAGCAGCAAGCUCAGUCCAGAAGAACAGUUCCUCUCCAGGAUCCACUUCCUGCGCACUUUUAUGUGCAGUGUAGCUGGAGCAGAGCUCCCCGGAAUUCCACAGGCAACUGAGAACGGAGAGGGAUGCAGGCCAGCCAGGGAUCCAGCGUCUUCCCCAUCGUCACUCUCCAUGGCCUCCGUCUACACACAGUGUUCGUCUGCACAGCUUGUCAGCGCGUUAUCAUGACUUCUAUUUGGCACCGGCCCGUCUGUCCACUGUCCUGGCUUGUUCCAAGCGCUGCCUUCUCCAACUGGGGUCCUGGCUGCAGAGCUGUCUGCUCCCCACGUUGGGCAACUCCAGCCAAGAUUCCUACACCCAAAUGUGACCGUGUUGCUCACGAAGAAGGCUCAGCUUUGCGUGUGCCCAGCCGUGUGCACAGCUCGUCCCAACUCCUGCGGGUGGCACCUGCCUCUCCCACCUCCAGUCUUUCCCCUGUGAUGAGCAGAUGACCACCGCCCUCCAGGGUCAGCGUUUGGCUGUUUGUGUGCCUGCCCACCCGCCUCCCUGUGCCUGGGCCUGCCCUGUGCCUGCACACAGGAGUGGCUCAUGGCGUUUGCCCUACACGGAUGGGCUGUCCUGGGAGCUACUGGACAGUCACCUUGGUGGGAAUGCCAGAGGCAUGGGCAUUAGGUCCCCCCGGCCAGCCUCCGUUGCCACAUGGGCUAUUUUUGUCCAUCGCGUGGGACAACCUAGUAUUGGGGGAAAACUCAGUCCACUCUAAAGAAGCAUCGGCGUUUUGGAUGGACGAAUGCUGCUUCAUGCGACUCCAUGUCAAUGGACUAUUUUAUUCAACUCGGGUAUUUAUGAGUGUCUCCUCUGUGCCAGCCACGUGUGAAAGAAGAACUCCAAGUUACUGGACACCAGGACAAACCAGGUAGAUCACUGCAUCCGGUUCCUCCUCUUUCUGCCGACUCUCCCGGGCAACCGUUCUGAUUCCUGGCAUGGAGUUGGGGGCGAGCUCAUCAGUACCCAGAGCGCCUGGUGUGCAGCCAAAGGCCCCCAUUUUAUUAGUCGGUGUGUUCAGUAUCACGCUCAAGACAAGGGCCAACCUAUUACUUCACACACCUCAAAUACAAAAAGUGCCUGGGAACGUCGAUGAGGUAUUAAAGGAAACCACUGGUCUUGUCAGUCAUGUACACACAGAAAAAAAAACCAGUCAUUUUUAUUUUUAUUUUUUGAGACAGAGUUUCGCUCUUGUUGCCCAGGCUGGAGUGCAAUGGUGCAAUUUCAGCUCACUGCAAUCUCUGCCACCCGGAUUCAAGCAAUUCUCCUGUCUCAGCCUCCCGAGUAGCUGGAAUUGCAGACACCCAUCACCACGCCCAGCUAAUUUUAUGUAUUUUUAGUAGAGAUGGGGUUUCACCAUGUUGGUCAGGCUGGUCUUGAACUCCUGACCUCAGGUGAUCCACCCACGUCAGGCUCCCAAAGUGCUGAGAUUACAGGCAUGAACCACUGUGCCCAGCCGAAAACAACCAAGAAUUUUUUAACAAUAAAAUGACCAGCAAGUAAACUUGAAACAAAAAUGGACAAAUAUCUAAAAUAUUUUUAAAUGUAUGUAUUUUAAUUGGCAAAUAAUACUUGUAUAUAUUGUUUACAACUUGUUUUAAAGUAUGAAUACAUUGUGGAAUGGCUAAAUCAAGUUAAUUAACAUGCAUUAACUCACAUACUUUUUGUUUUUUGGUGUGGUGAGGACACUUAACAUCUACUCUCUUAGCAAUUUUCCAGUCACCAUGUCCUACUAUAGAUCCCUAGAACAUAUUCCUCCAAUGUAACUGAAAUGUAUCCCUUGACCAACAUCACUGCCCGGCCCCAGCCCCAGGUAAACACCAUUCUACCCUCUGCUUCUGUGAGUUCAGCUUUUCUAGAUUUCACCUGUGAGUGAGAUUGUGCAGCAUUUGUCUUUCUGUGCCUGGGUUUUUUCACAUAAUGCCCUUCUGGUUCAUCUAUAUUGUCAUAUAUGGUAGCAUUGUCUUCCUUUGUAAGGCUGACUGGUAUACCAUUGCGUAUAUACACCACAUUGUUUACCUAAAAUAUUUUUUAAUACAAUCGCUGAAAACUGCCACAUAACUUGUAUAACUGCUGUAAGGCUUGGUUUUCAGCCAUAAGAUGGGAAGAGAAGUAACAUCUACCUUGCAGGAUGACUGCAAGCUGUAAAAUGCCACAAAGCGCAGGGGAGCCCAGAACCGCCGCAGCAGGACAGGUCCUCUGGAAGCAGACAGACCUGCCUUGUUACUUUAGCCAUCCAGAGUCCAGUUUAGCCAGUGAUGAAAUGAGUACAAAAGAACACCUUUCUUGUAGGAUUGCAAAAUGAUGUCUUCAUCCAUUCUGUGCUGCUAUAGCAGACUCCUGCACACUGGGUAACUGACAGCUUACAGAAGCUUGUUGGCUUAUGGUUCUGGAGGCUGGGAAGUCCAACCUCAAGGGGCUGCAUCUGGUGAGGGCUUUCUUGUUGCAUCAUCACAUCGCAGAAUAGCAGAAGGGCAAGGAGAGAGAGAGAAAAGAGUGCUGAACCCACCCUUUGAUAAGAAGCCCACUCCCAUGAUAAUAGCACCAGCCCAUUCAGGAGGGCAAAGCCCUCGUGGCUGCAUCGCCUCUCAAAGGUUCCACCUCUCAAGAUCAUCACAAUGACAAUCAAACUUCAUGAAUUUUGGAGGGGACAAUUAUUCAAACCAGAACAGAGGGGGAUGGCAAAUGUUCUGAAAACAAGCCUAGAAAUUGAUCUUAGAAAUGGUGCAAAAGUAGAUUUCCCCUUCUGUCUUUACCUGUGAUGGUCUAACCCCAAAAGCCUCCCAGAACAGAACUUGUGAGCACAAGAUAGAAACAACAAACUUGAUGCAGAGCUGAGCUCACAAGGAGGUCAGGGAUGUGACAGGAACCAGAGACAAACAGAAGGCUGAAAACCAGGUCUUAAAGUGUGAGAGCCAAAGGGCAGCAGCCCAGGAGAGUGUUCGUCUGGAGCCCCGGGGUUUAAGUCUCCACACUCACAUGGGAAAGGAGACGAGGCCUCCCUGGAUCCACGUGAAUCAGGAACUGGAACAAGGGCACUCAAAGGGCUACGCCAUCAGGAGAGAUGUGAAUGAGUGUGCCCACAGGAACAGGAAGACAACAGGAUGGUUCUGUGUUUGCCUGCCUGUUGUGGUUCUGUGAGACAGAAACAGUUUUGAUGACAAUUGAUAAUCAGGACUCAGAGCCUUGUUAGACUUCAGGUAUUGAAUUUUUUUUUGAGACAGGGUCUAGCUGUGUUGCCCAGGCUGGUCUUGAACUCCUGGGCCCAAGUGAUCCUCCUACCUUGGCCUCCCAAAGUGCUGGGAUUACAGGCAUGAGCUACCGUGCCCAGCCUAGGUAUCGAAUUUUCACAGGUUUCACAGUCCAGGCCCUACCACCCCUGCAGCAAAUAACUUGAUAUAAAACCUGGGCCCAGGCUAGUAAUACCCUUGAAGCCCAUGACAGAAGCAGGCACAGUGAUAGAAGCAAAAUCACGUAGACAUUAUCAAUCUAGCCCCCUCCAAUUCCUACCCAUAAAGCCCACUGAAGAUGAAUUUACAAUCAUAAAGUACAAAACAUGCCAAGAAAGAACCACAUGAGGGAAGUCAGCAGAUGUGUGAACAGCAGGAACGGACUCCGCCACCAAAGGCCUUCAAAAGGUGAAUCAAGCAAAAAAGAGAACAUUAAUUAAACAUGUUUAACAUGGGUAAGAAUUACAGGAAUAAAAGAAGUAAAUGAACAAGAAUACGAUUGCAAGGGAGUGGUAGAAGAAUAGGCAGUUUUGAAGAACUAAAUGGAAUAUCUAGAAUGAAAAACCAUGCUUGCUAAAAUUAACUCAAUGAGUGAGUUUAAAAAGCAAUUUAGACCCAGCUGAGAGCUGAAUUUGUGGUAUAUGCAGAAAUUACUUCUGAUGCGAGGCAGAGCAUGAUGACAGAAUGAGGAGAUCCCAAACAUCUAUGAGAGUUCCAUUCUGAAUGAUUAGAAGAAUGAGGAAGCAACAGUAUUUAAAAAGAUAAUCACUAAGAAAGUUCUAUACUUGAUGAAAAAUGUGAAUCCUAAGAUUCAGGAACAGUGUGAGACUUCAGCUGGGGAAAAAAGAUGAAACUACACUUCUACAUUUAGGAGUAAAACUACAGAAUACAAAAGACAAAAAAAUUUUAAAGUGAAAAAUAAAACCACUCAGAUUACAUCAAAAGCAGUUAUCAUGAAAGCAGCCUAUCAAUUACAAUGAUAAAAGCCAAGCAAUAGUCAAAUAUCGAUUUUUUUCAAAGUCACAAGAUAAAAUAAGUAGUAACAUAGGAUUCUGUACAUAGCAUUAUUUGUUACCUAUUGGGGCAUAACAAAAUUCCCCAAAACUUUGCAGCUUAAAAAACAUUCAGUAUUUCACCAUUGCCAUGAGUCAGGAAUCCAGGCGUGGCUUGAGUCCUCUGCAUAUUGGCUUCUCACCAGACUGCAAUCAGGACAAUAGCACAGUAUCUGUGGUCUCAUCUGAAGGCUUGCCUGAGGAAGUCUGCAUCCAAGCUUACUCUUCGUUGGCUGUUGGGCAGAGGCACCCUCAGCUCCCAGCCAUGUAGGCUUUCCCAUGGUGCAGCUUCUAUCAACAAAGCACGCCAGACAAGAGGACAACACACAGUCUUCUAGGAAGAAGAAAGCCACAAUCUUUUUUUAAAAAGCAAAGCAAUAUUUAUGUAAUUGCCACUUGGUUUGAGAAGUAGAACACUGUGUCAAAAACCCCUCCAAAGCCCCCGCCAGUAACUGCCCUCCUCCUUCUCCCCAGUGCAACCACUGCCCUCACUUCUGUCUUUUUUUCAACUUUUAAAAAUUGUGGUAAAAUGCAUAUAACUUAAAAUUACAACCUUAAUCAUUUUAAGUGUACAGUUUGGUGGUGGUAAAUACACUCGUGAUGUGCAACCAUCACCACCAUGCAUCUGUAUAGAACUCUUUCCAUCUUGUAAAACUGAAACUCUGUCUCCAUUAAAC
RNAcentral lists this long non-coding RNA (5652 nucleotides) under Homo sapiens (human). RNAcentral describes it as "non-protein coding CTBP1-DT:28". Lineage: Eukaryota; Metazoa; Chordata; Mammalia; Primates; Hominidae. The record is from RNAcentral.